AUUCCAGCUCCAAUAGCGUAUAUUAAAGUUGUUGCAGUUAAAAAGCUCGUAGUUGGAGUUCAGAGUGAGCUCAAUCGGUCGGGAUUAUGUCUCAGAACUGGUUGACUCUCUCUCGUUUGUGGAUCCUGUUCGGAGUUAACUCUUCGGAUGUGGAGUCCACAUCGUUUACCUUGAAAAAAUUAGAGUGUUCAAAGCAGGCGUUUGCUUGAAUAUAUUAGCAUGGAAUAAUGGAAUAGGACGCUGGUUCUAUUUUGUUGGUUUUGAGAACCAGAGUAAUGAUUAAUAGGGACAGUUGGGGGCAUUCAUAUUUCAUUGUCAGAGGUGAAAUUCUUGGAUUUAUGAAAGAUGAACUUCUGCGAAAGCAUUUGCCAAGGAUGUUUUCAUCA
Molecule: ribosomal RNA, 386 nt
Filed under: Telonemia sp.
Lineage: Eukaryota; Telonemia
Description: partial small subunit ribosomal RNA
Rfam family: Eukaryotic small subunit ribosomal RNA
Source: RNAcentral